UACGGGAGGCAGCAGUGGGGAAUAUUGCACAAUGGGCGCAAGCCUGAUGCAGCCAUGCCGCGUGUAUGAAAAAGGCCUUCGGGUUGUAAAGUACUUUCAGUCGUGAGGAAGGUGUUAAGGUUAAUAACCUUAGCAAUUGACGUUAGCGACAGAAGAAGCACCGGCUAACUCCGUGCCAGCAGCCGCGGUAAUACGGAGGGUGCGAGCGUUAAUCGGAAUUACUGGGCGUAAAGGGCACGCAGGCGGUUAAUUAAGUUGGAUGUGAAAUCCCCGGGCUUAACCUGGGAAUGGCAUUCAAGCUGGUUAGCUAGAGUCUUGUAGAGGGGGUAGAAUUCCAUGUGUAGCGGUGAAAUGCGUAGAGAUGUGGAGGAAUACCGGUGGCGAAGGCGGCCCCUGGGCAAAGGCUGACGCUCAUGUGCGAAAGCGUGGGGAGCGAAACAGGGAUUAGAU
Molecule: ribosomal RNA, 450 nt
Filed under: uncultured bacterium
Lineage: Bacteria
Description: bacterial SSU rRNA
Rfam family: Bacterial small subunit ribosomal RNA
Source: RNAcentral